RNAcentral lists this ribosomal RNA (468 nucleotides) under uncultured bacterium. RNAcentral describes it as "partial 16S ribosomal RNA". It matches the Rfam family "Bacterial small subunit ribosomal RNA", at positions 28 to 507 of the family's 1533-position model. The record is from RNAcentral.
GACGAACGCUGGCGGCGUGCUUAACACAUGCAAGUCGAACGGAAAGGCCCUGCUUUUGUGGGGUGCUCGAGUGGCGAACGGGCGAGUAACACGUGAGUAACCUGCCCUUGACUUUGGGAUAACUUCAGGAAACUGGGGCUAAUACCGGAUAGGAGCUCCUGCUGCAUGGUGGGGGUUGGAAAGUUUCGGCGGUUGGGGAUGGACUCGCGGCUUAUCAGCUUGUUGGUGGGGUAGUGGCUUACCAAGGCUUUGACGGGUAGCCGGCCUGAGAGGGUGACCGGCCACAUUGGGACUGAGAUACGGCCCAGACUCCUACGGGAGGCAGCAGUGGGGAAUAUUGCACAAUGGGCGGAAGCCUGAUGCAGCAACGCCGCGUGCGGGAUGACGGCCUUCGGGUUGUAAACCGCUUUCGCCUGUGACGAAGCGUGAGUGACGGUAAUGGGUAAAGAAGCACCGGCUAACUACGUA